RNAcentral lists this long non-coding RNA (227 nucleotides) under Brassica napus (rape). RNAcentral's name for it is "long non-coding RNA (BNAP_LNC008447)". Lineage: Eukaryota; Viridiplantae; Streptophyta; Magnoliopsida; Brassicales; Brassicaceae. The record is from RNAcentral.
UGAUAUGUAUGCAUAUGUCAAAGUAGCGUUUUUUCUGCGGGUUUUACGAGGAACGUUUCUGCUGUGAUUUCGAUCUUAGGUGAAAGUUGCUUGGAGUUACUCAUGGAGUGUUACCGAAAUUUUUCUCAAUACGAUCUAGUCGCAGAACGUUUUUCAUAGGUUUUUGAGAGGAUUCUCAUGAUACAUUCGUUUCUUGAACGAAUUGGUCAACCAGAGGUGGAUCUAGC